UACAGAGGGGGCAAGCGUUGUUCGGAAUUACUGGGCGUAAGGGGCGCGCAGGCGGCCUGCUAAGUCGAACGUGAAAUCCCUGGGCUCAACCCAGGAACUGCGUCCGAUACUGGUUGGCUUGAAUCCGGGAGAGGGAUGUGGAAUUCCAGGUGUAGCGGUGAAAUGCGUAGAUAUCUGGAGGAACACCGGUGGCGAAGGCGACAUCCUGGACCGGUAUUGACGCUGAGGCGCGAAAGCCAGGGGAGCAAACGGG
This 253-nucleotide ribosomal RNA is filed under the name uncultured bacterium. RNAcentral describes it as "partial 16S ribosomal RNA". It matches the Rfam family "Bacterial small subunit ribosomal RNA", at positions 524 to 776 of the family's 1533-position model. The record is from RNAcentral.